CUCCAUUCUCUACCCUUAAAUCACUUAAGCACAAAGGCAGAAGGCAUUGCAAAGUGCAAUGGUUCUUAGCGUCAUGGGUGAAAUGUUUUUACAACAAAAAUGAGUGAAAGAUUAGAGCUUAGUGGACAUGUCUGCUGUCAACACAACAGGAGCUCCAGAGCCUCAGUGGGUAAACAGACCUUCCAGAAAUCAGGAUUUCCAGCGUCCCCUGAGACUUGUGGCUCGGCACAGACAUCCCAUCAGAUCGAGCACCUGCCUGCCUGACGGCUCCCGCUCUGCACAGCACACACACAGGCCCAUGAAUGAAGGGUGAGUCCUGGGAGGAUGUGCUGUCUUACUCCCUAGAGUGGACCAGCUCUGGAGCUGACUCGGUGCUUCUGGGAGCUGCCAGGAGCUGCAAAGAGAGAUGGAUGAGCUGCU
This 420-nucleotide long non-coding RNA is filed under the name Mastacembelus armatus (zig-zag eel). RNAcentral's name for it is "lncRNA (ENSMAMG00000024564.1)". The record is from RNAcentral. Lineage: Eukaryota; Metazoa; Chordata; Actinopteri; Synbranchiformes; Mastacembelidae.